This 501-nucleotide ribosomal RNA is filed under the name uncultured bacterium. RNAcentral's name for it is "partial 16S ribosomal RNA". It matches the Rfam family "Bacterial small subunit ribosomal RNA", at positions 29 to 523 of the family's 1533-position model. The record is from RNAcentral.
AUUGAACGCUGGCGGCAUGCCUUACACAUGCAAGUCGAACGGCAGCACGGGUGCUUGCACCUGGUGGCGAGUGGCGAACGGGUGAGUAAUACAUCGGAACGUACCUUAUCGUGGGGGAUAACGCAGCGAAAGCUGUGCUAAUACCGCAUACGCCCUGAGGGGGAAAGCGGGGGAUCGAAAGACCUCGCGCGAUUAGAGCGGCCGAUGCCUGAUUAGCUUGUUGGUGGGGUAAAAGCCCACCAAGGCGACGAUCAGUAGCUGGUCUGAGAGGAGGAUCAGCCACACUGGGACAGGGACACGGCCCAGACUCCUACGGGAGGCCGCAGUGGGGAAUUUUGGACAAUGGGGGCAACCCUGAUCCAGCAAUGCCGCGUGAGUGAAGAAGGCCUUCGGGUUGUAAAGCUCUUUUGUCUGGGAAGAAACACCGGCUCUAACACAGUCCGGGAAUGACGGUACCUGAAGAAUAAGCACCGGCUAACUACGUGCCAGCCGCCGCGGUAA